RNAcentral lists this ribosomal RNA (253 nucleotides) under uncultured bacterium. RNAcentral describes it as "partial 16S ribosomal RNA". It matches the Rfam family "Bacterial small subunit ribosomal RNA", at positions 524 to 776 of the family's 1533-position model. The record is from RNAcentral.
UACGAGAGGCGCAAACGUUAUUCGGAAUUACUGGGCUUAAAGAGUUCGUAGGCGGCGCAGCAAGUAGGGUGUGAAAGCCCUCGGCUCAACCGAGGAAUUGCGCUCUAAACUACUGUGCUUGAGGAACCUAGAGGUGAGCAGAACUGAUGGUGGAGCGGUGAAAUGCGUUGAUAUCAUCAGGAAUACCGGAGGCGAAGGCGGCUCACUGGGGGUUUUCUGACGCUGAGGAACGAAAGCCAGGGGAGCGAACGGG